GUCUACAGCCAUGCCACCCUGAACAUGCCUGAUUCCGUCUAAUCUUGGAAGCUAAGCAGGGUAGGGCCUGGUUAGUACUUGGAUGGGAGACCACCUAGGAAGACCGGGUGCUGUAGGCA
This 119-nucleotide ribosomal RNA is filed under the name Pteropus alecto (black flying fox). The record is from RNAcentral. Lineage: Eukaryota; Metazoa; Chordata; Mammalia; Chiroptera; Pteropodidae.